GGAUUUUCAUUAGAUAAUAAUAUUUAGCGUAUGUUCUGCUGUAGGGUAGUAUAAUUCAGCCGUAAGGAAUUGUCACUCGUAGGAUGAAAUUUGACUUUGGAUUGUCAGGACCCUCCUAGAUAAUGAGACGUACCUUUAAGAUCUAAAUAGAUAUAAGAUAUAUUGCAAGUUGUACCUUUAGAAGAUAUAGCUUAGUGUUAAAGCUGUCGUUUGUUAAGAGUUGUCAGGUCCCUCCUAGAUAGCCUUAAUAUUUCCCUGAUUACAAGAUGUGGUGAAAGUUGUAUCUUUAGAAGAUAUAGCUUAGUGUUAAUAUUGUCGUCA
RNAcentral lists this long non-coding RNA (321 nucleotides) under Nicotiana benthamiana. RNAcentral's name for it is "long non-coding RNA (NBEN_LNC041439)". Lineage: Eukaryota; Viridiplantae; Streptophyta; Magnoliopsida; Solanales; Solanaceae. The record is from RNAcentral.